This 30-nucleotide non-coding RNA is filed under the name Cricetulus griseus (Chinese hamster). The record is from RNAcentral. Lineage: Eukaryota; Metazoa; Chordata; Mammalia; Rodentia; Cricetidae.
UGCCUAGGCGGGACGCUGGGCAGAGCCCUG